RNAcentral lists this long non-coding RNA (392 nucleotides) under Spirodela polyrhiza (greater duckweed). RNAcentral's name for it is "long non-coding RNA (SPOL_LNC001952)". Lineage: Eukaryota; Viridiplantae; Streptophyta; Magnoliopsida; Alismatales; Araceae. The record is from RNAcentral.
CAGGAGAGAGAGUGAGGAGACAGGAGUGAAGGGGGAGAGACAGACAGACAGAGGAGAGAGGAGAGAGAGUGAGUAGAGAGUGAGAGGAGACACACAGAGAUUAAGAGAGGAGAGAGAGAGAGAGAGGUGGCAGGAGAGAGAGUGAGGUGACAGGAGUGAAGGGGGAGAGAUAGACAGACAGGAGAGAGGAGAGAGGAGAGAGAGUGAGAGAGAGAUUAAGAGAGGAGCGAGAGUGAGAGGUGACAGGAGUAAGGGGGAGAGAGACAGACAGAGGAGAGAGGAGAGAGAGUGAGAGGAGACACAGAGAGAGAAGAGAGAGAGGCAGACAGAGACAGAGAGAGAUUAAGAGAGAAGAGAGUGAGGGGAGACGAGGGAAAGGGAGGGACAGAGAG